Molecule: transfer RNA, 68 nt
Filed under: Homoiodoris japonica
Lineage: Eukaryota; Metazoa; Mollusca; Gastropoda; Nudibranchia; Dorididae
Description: tRNA-Ala
Source: RNAcentral
GGUACUGUACUUUAACCAGAAGAUCUAACUUGCACUUAGAAAGUAGACCCAUUUUUGUCUCAGAACCA